UCUAUUUCGUGUUUUCUCCCUCUGUCUCUCCACUCCAACAACGAAUUCUUCACCUCACUCAAUUUUCAGGUAAGUCUUUCUCUCUCUCUCACCCACUCCUUUUUCGAUUUUGAUUUUUCGAAACUUAGGGAUUUUCUGCUGUUUCAAACCCUAGGUUUGAAAAAAAUAUUGUUGUUCUCUUGUGCAUUAUAGUCUAAUUAAACCUAAGUCUUUAUUUAUUUCAUCUUAGAAACAAUGAAUUUGUUAAAAGACAAUAUUGAGUUGGUUUAUUCUUGUUAGUUUGGUCUAUUUUUCAGAUCUAUUUAUUUUUAAUAUGGAUUAGUGCUAUGUAUUUACAGGCAUUCUUCACAAAUAUGGAGAAAUUAGAAAGAUUUCUAAGUUGCCCAUGUCAAAAUGAGGAAUAGUUUCUUCCUUGAGAACUGUAAAAUAAUGUAGUCUUUAUUUAAAAGUAGCUACAGAUUUAACAAUGCAAGCAUAAUCCUGCUAGGACCGCAGACAAACACCUUCUAAAAUUAGAGUUUCCUUGAAUUAUGCCACAUUUUUUAUGAUAUAGUUACUAAAAUAAUGUGUAAGUUUAUAUUGGAAUAUCUUUUUGGAAUAUUUUUCAGAUUCUUUUAAAAGUACAUGAAUGAGGGCGGGUUUGGGUUUGUUCACAGUAAUCUAAAAAUAUAGCUUUUAAUUGAAUUAAAAAAAAAGAAAAGAAAAAGAGUACUUACUAAUAUUUUUCAGAAUUAAAGAGGAGAAUUUAAUGAGUUCAUGGCUUAUUUCACUAGGUGCUUGAAUGUGUCUAUUUGAGAAUGAUUUUAUCAUUUGAGUUCUUGUCUUAGUUUAACAUUUCCAUUUGAUUUUCUUUAUUUAUAGGCGUUUGGUUCUUUAGAAGUUGAAGGUGAUAGAAUCUAAUUGAGAGCAGAUGCCAAUGGUGCCUAUUAGUUGGCUUAUGGGUAUUGAUUUUUACAAAAGUGAUGGUGUAAUAAUUUUUUUCCAUUAGAAGUACUGAUAUAUUGUCUAUAUGCGAGUAAAUUUCAUACAUUAGAUAUUUUUGAAACAUAUUAAAAUGAUUAAGUCCAGCCAG
Molecule: long non-coding RNA, 1072 nt
Filed under: Nicotiana tabacum (common tobacco)
Lineage: Eukaryota; Viridiplantae; Streptophyta; Magnoliopsida; Solanales; Solanaceae
Description: long non-coding RNA (NTAB_LNC004152)
Source: RNAcentral